This 274-nucleotide ribosomal RNA is filed under the name uncultured bacterium. RNAcentral's name for it is "partial 16S ribosomal RNA". It matches the Rfam family "Bacterial small subunit ribosomal RNA", at positions 523 to 796 of the family's 1533-position model. The record is from RNAcentral.
AUACGGAGGGUGCAAGCGUUACUCGGAAUCACUGGGCGUAAAGGACGCGUAGGCGGGUUGUCAAGUCAGAUGUGAAAUCCUACAGCUUAACUGUAGAACUGCAUUUGAAACUGGCAACCUAGAGUAUGGGAGGGGGAGAUGGAAUUAGUGGUGUAGGGGUAAAAUCCGUAGAUAUCACUAGGAAUACCGAAAGCGAAGGCGAUCUCCUGGAACAUAACUGACGCCAAGGCGUGAAAGCGUGGGUAGCAAACAGGAUUAGAAACCCUAGUAGUCC